RNAcentral lists this ribosomal RNA (138 nucleotides) under uncultured bacterium. RNAcentral describes it as "partial 16S ribosomal RNA". It matches the Rfam family "Bacterial small subunit ribosomal RNA", at positions 355 to 509 of the family's 1533-position model. The record is from RNAcentral.
UGGGGAAUAUUGCACAAUGGGGGAAACCCUGAUGCAGCGACGCCGCGUGGGCGACGAAGCGCUCCGGCGCGUAAAGCCCUGUCAGCAGGGAAGAAAAAAGACAGUACCUGACCAAGAAGCCCCGGCUAACUACGUGCC